UCAGAUUUGUGUGAAAUUUCGAAAGCCU
This 28-nucleotide non-coding RNA is filed under the name Rattus norvegicus (Norway rat). Lineage: Eukaryota; Metazoa; Chordata; Mammalia; Rodentia; Muridae. The record is from RNAcentral.